GAGGAGACAGAACCUCUCAUUCAUCCCUGACUUAAUCAUGGGGGAGUUAACAGUUUGUUUUUGAAUAAUGGAACAAAGGCAAGAACUGUGCAUAUGAAGAUUUGAUGUCAGUCAGUCUCAAAUCACCAAAACCAGGAGAAAUUAUUUAUGUUGCUGCUUUGCAGAAUUCAAUCAUUUUGGAAGUCCAAGAGAUGCCCCCCCCCAAAUAAACUAUGGCCAAUGUCCUUGGUUACCUAUCAGAACCUGAAGGAUCAAAACUAUGCAUUGCUAAGAACAGAAACUGUUUAAUGAGGAAACAACACGAAAAAUUGAUGAUAUUGGCAGCUUUGUACAAGUUGGAGACCUGAUAUGAAACAAAUGUUGAAGUGGAACGUCUUGGGGAGGAGGCUCUUGGUCAUUACAAAGUGGCUGGCAGCAGAUGUUCUGAGAAUCCCCAAGCCUCCUCUGACCCUCCUACUUUCCUGGCACUGGAACAUGGAACUCACAGCUGAUAGCAUCAUGAAGACAGAAGACAUUUUAGGAAGGGGCCAAGGACAAAAUAAUUUUCUACAAGCAUGCCCACAAGUGACCCAUUUCCUUCAGGUGAGGGUGUGGAAGCCAGAGGACAACGUGAUGGGGUAGGUUUCUCUCCUUCCACCACGUAGGUCCCUUGUCUGAUACCCCGGUCCUCCAGCUUGGCACCAGAGAGGUUACUGAUCUCCCAGGAGAAAGACUUGCCAUUUCUCUCUGGUAAUUUGGGCUCAAAGG
RNAcentral lists this small RNA (747 nucleotides) under Rattus norvegicus (Norway rat). RNAcentral describes it as "uncharacterized LOC103690886". The record is from RNAcentral. Lineage: Eukaryota; Metazoa; Chordata; Mammalia; Rodentia; Muridae.